GUGGAUUUCUGCUGCUGGCGACCCUGUGUCCUGCAGAGCGGAGCACUGUCUGUUUUUUUUGCACCAUCCUCUCACCUUGCAGCGGUGCUAUAUCAGACAAUGCUCUGCUGCUCUUCAUAGGGUGUUCACUACCGAGGUUUUUAGAAGUGGGUGGCCAGGGCCUUCUUCAUAGUCUGUCUUAGUCUGGAAGCUCUGCUGACGAUUGUUCACCAAGGAUGAUCCUGCUGGUAUAUGAAAUACCGGCAGCAUAGCUUUUAGCAUCACAGCAGCACACAACAUCCACAGUGUGACAACCGACAGGUGGUGUGGUUCCCUGACUGGGAAAGGAACCCAGGUAUGGGCGGUGAGAGUGCGAAAUCUUAACCACUAGACCAGCAGGGCUGGCUGAAUGGCCCUGGACAAAUCAUGGAGCCCCUCUGCCACCCUGCUGUCUCCUCUGCACCUGCCUGGGGCUGGGGGCCCCAUGGGGCCGUGUUUAAGCCCUGCCCUGUGCUGAGCCGAAGCCUCCGCAGGUGACUCUGUGACCAGCAACCACCCCGUGGAACUGGGCCAGAGCCACUGCCAGACACCUGGCAGAACCACUGAUCAGAUGUCCCGAGGAUGAGCAUCCCCAUCAACCUCCUGUGUUUGAGUCUUGGGGAGGCCAAUCUUUUCCUCAGGUCCCAGGUCUCAUCAAAAGAGAGUCGGUGAUGUCAAUAAUGAAUCUCAGGACGUGUGCACAUGGCUCCCCAAGGAUAGAGCACAACCGGGAGCCUGCAGGCAUGCUCUGGGCCUGCGGCACACCUCACAGCGUCUGAAGAGGCCCAUGGCUCAAAGAUGGGAUGGGGUGUAAGGUAGAGGCUCCUCCUUCCUAAACUUGCACUGAUCUCAGCCCUUAUAACAAAGCCCUCAGGAAAUGAAUCCAGAUCCCAACCUCUCCCCAGAUGGAAGUUCAGAUAGGGGCAGGAUCCUGCUUGACUUGAUUCCCUGGCUUUGUGAUGUCAUUAAAGACCCAUAUUCUUUUCAUAUCUCCACACUGCCACAAUUUCCCCUGGGUCUGUCACACUUCUGCACAUCUUGCAAGCAGAGGCACUGACAGCUUUUGCUCCAGACCAUCUUUUCAAGGAUGCCCUGUUAGGGGCCUGGGGAGCCCAGCCAACUCAGCCUCACUUCCACACCCUGUCACCUGUUUUUCCAGCUGUCAUCACCUGGUGGCCCCAGAGUCUUCUUGGGGACCAGAUGAGGAGCAAGCUGUAGCCCGCCCUCAGCAGCCCCCUCACCAGGACAUGCCCUGUACCACCUUGGACGUCCUUGUCGUGGGUGAAGACAGGCAGCCCUGGCAUUGGGGCAGGCUCUGGAUGCUAAGCGCCUCCUGGAGCCCACCCAAGCUCCCUCCCCAGCAACUCCCUGUGGGCAAAGGGGUCUUGCUUUUCAUCUGUUACACAAUGGUAUCCUAUCACGGUGGAUGGUGAAACUCAGCAAUUCUAUGUGUGUGGCUCAACAGCUUCUAAAACUACUUACUUAAAGUAACAAUACUCUCCACUGUGCAUUGUAAAUGAAGACCUGAAAUGAAUGUAGUACCAUUGCAUUUAAUUGGAAGAUUUAGUCAGGCAGGCAAGAAAAUCCCCUAACCAGAAAUAGCGACAUGUGGGCUAGUGUUCUAGCCACUAGUAAUUGCUUAAUGGGACAGAGAAUCCCGGUGAAAAGCCCACAAGACAGUCUUACUAUUAGUGUAAACCAAAUUCAAAUCUUUGGUUUGCUUGCUUGGGUAUUAUGUGCACUUAUGAGAUUAGAUUAAUAAUAGCCCAAACGGGUUCUGUUAUGGCAAGUACCUUCUUAAUGUUUCAUGGCUUUAACCAUAUUAUUUGAGC
RNAcentral lists this long non-coding RNA (1850 nucleotides) under Equus caballus (horse). RNAcentral's name for it is "lncRNA (ENSECAG00000044996.1)". Lineage: Eukaryota; Metazoa; Chordata; Mammalia; Perissodactyla; Equidae. The record is from RNAcentral.